UUUUUGCAGGUACUAUUCACAACGAUAGAGUCUUCUUCAUCUCGGCAUGUCAAUCUUUCGAGAUGGCAUGUUUCUUUAGUUGAAAUGGAUGGUUCUUUAAUUUGAGAAUUGGAUUUUGAGUCAGUUAAUAUUAUCUAAAAUUUGUGUAUGAGUGACUACUUGUAAAAAUUAUGGACUGAUUCCCCUCGAUGUUGAAGCUGGAUUUUAUCCAUUAUUAAAAAAACAGAGGGCGCGGAAGUAUCCUAUAAUUUUUGGGCCUGGAAUGCCCGUCGCAAUGUUGGGCCAAGCUGAAGCUGUACAAAAGAGGUGGGGUUCUUAUACGGGCCAGACGAUGCUACAUACACACUAGUAAAGGACACCGGGAGUCGAGGCGGUGAGAAAAAAGUCCCGGCAGACCAACGAAUCGCUCGCUGGGGAAGAAAAUGUAAGAUUCAACUCUAAAUAAGGCCUUGUUUAGUUGCCUGAUUUUGGUUGUCCAAAAUCAGUGCGUUAGCACUGUAGCGCACUGUAGCAUUUCGUUUGUAUUUGUAAAUUAUUGUCUAAAUAUUGACUAAUUAGGCUCAAAAGAUUCGUCUCGCAAAGUACAACCAAACUGUGCAAUUAGUUUUUGAUUUCGUCUACAUUUAGUAUUUCAUGCAUCUACGGUAAGUUUGAUAUGAUGGAGAAUCUUCUUUUUACAUAGUGUCAAAGUUGGGAUUUUGGGGAACUAAACAGGCCCUAAAUUCCAACGGAACACAUACUUGGAAGAAAAUCCGUGGCAGCAAGUCAUUCGAUUUUUGAAAUUCAAAAUAAAUGCAUCGUGUUCGGACGCAGCUAGACGCCUAGACUUCUGAUCGAGACUCGAGAGCAAGGUAAGCCACGUGGCCUCUUGUGGUUCGACCAACAGGAUACAGUACUACAGUAGUCCGAUAAUGUGGGGUCCACGCCCACCGCCUGCCAAGUUUUUUGAGGGGAAAAAAUCCGAGGGAAUAAACAGGCCGCUCCAACGGUCGGGCUCCUCGAAUUCAAAUCCGGCCGCAGUUGCCUUUAUAUCCGACCCACACGCUCCCUUCCUUCGCUUUUCCGGAUGACCCAUCGCGGAUUUCAAAUAGCUGCGCAGCCCAGCUGAACCUACCCAGAUCGGACGAGAGGAGGAGGAGACACGGCGGAGAGGAGAAGACGGAGUCACAGGAGGAGGAGGAUUGCCGCCGCCCGCAGCAGGAAGAGAGAGCAUGGACUUCCUUGCGCUCCCCCGCCGCGACCUGCAGGCGCUGUGCAAGCGCAACGGCGUCCGCGCCAACAUGACCAACGCCGCCAUGGCCGAGGCCCUCGCCGCGCUCCCCACGGUAAGGAAGCCGCCCCUCGCUCGCUCGUCCCGUCCCAUCACGCGCGUCGAAUUCAGAUCUGGGCACGGCGGGUAGCUUGCGAGCUUACACGUUCCGUAAUUUCAGGUUGAUGGGAUCGGGGAGUACGUCAAGGAGCCCGUCACCGUUCCUGCGCCAGAGGUUAAGGCGGCGGCGGCGGCGGAUGAGCAGCAGCGGGAGAAGCUGGGGAGCCCACUCCCGCGCGGCCGCCGCGUGACGGUCAAGGCGGUCCAGACGGACGGCGGCAAGGAGGAUGAGAAGCGGGAGUCGGCCAAGGAGGACGCGCCGGCACUUGCAGUUGGGCGGCGCGGUCCCAGCCGGCGCGCUCGGCCAGCUCCUGUCGUGGCGUCUUCGGUGGCCGUGCCGGUUGGAAAGGCGGAGGAAGCGGAGGACAAGCAGGGCGGCAGCAAGGAGGAGGAUCGGAGGCGGGAGGCGAACAAGGAGGAUCCGCCAGCCCCUGUCGUUGGGCGGCGCGCUGCGAGCCGCCGCGCUCGACCAGAGUUGGCAGCAGAGUCAGCGGCGGCAGGGGCGGUAGAGGAGCAGAGGAAGCAAGAUGGGAGCCCGACCCCGCGCGGCCGCCGCGGUGCGGUCAAGUCGUCCGAGCCCAUCAGACCGGAUGACUGUGAGAAGGAGGAGAAGGAGCUCAUGCGGGAGGCUGGAACGGAUGGUGCGCCGGCCCUUGGCGUCGGACGUCGUGGUGCCAGCCGGCGCGCUCGCCCCGCGCCAGCGUUGGCUGAGCCGGCGGGCAAGGUAACAGAGGAGGAGAAGGCGCCACCGAUUCCUCGCGAUCGCCAUGUCAAGCUGAACGACGACAAGGAGGAUACAAAAGCAGCUACGAAGCCAGAAGGGGAGGAAGACGCGCCAGCACUGGGCGUUGGUCAUCGCGGUGCCUGCCGGCGUGUUCGGCGCGCGCCUGCUGUGUCAGGCAAGGUAGCAGCAGAGGCUGAGCCACGGGCUCUGAUCCCACGUGGCCACGGCGUUCCUGUCAAGUCACCCGAGGUUACCAGGCUGGACGAUAGCGAGGACGAGGAAAAGGAGGACACGAAGCCGGAUGAGAAGGACGAUGAAGCGCCUGCAAUUGGCGUGGGUCGGCGUGGUGCCAGCCAGCGCGCCCCCGCCCCUGCAGAUUCUCCGGCUACGAGAAGAAGGGCUGCAACAAGUAAAGCUGAGGCAGUAGGUGUGACCGAGGAGGCUGUGCCCAUGCGGGCCACUCGUCACCGUAAGCCAACUAUGAAAGCGGCCGCGGUGGCAGAGGAGAAGGCGCUGCCAAAGGCGACAAGAAGGAAGGCGGUAAAGAAGACCAUUUCGCAGCAGGAGGAACAAGAAAACCCACAAGGUGAACUUCAACAAUAUCUAACACUCCAAGGGAGAGAUUACAAUAUACAGCCCCAAGGGUCCAGUCCAGCCAGGACUUUAUCUACAAGAUAUUCUAGUUACAAACUUAUAUAACAAGAUAGCAACAAAUCUAUCUACAACUACCUGGCCGAACCAAAGCUCUUUGAGUCGAUUACAAUUGAACUUCAACAAUAUCUAACAAGAUUGACUUGAUCCCAAUCAAUUCAUUUCUGUGGACGAACUGAGCGCUGGUUUUGCUUAUGCCAAUUUUGAUUUCUGAACCUUGCGUCGUCUCUUAUGCAGAGGCUGUGCCUGCUCCAGUUUCUGACGUGGGAUGUGAUAACCCUGAAGACCCGGAAGAGGAUUCUGGCCCUCAGAAGAGAGAGCAAAAACAAAAGGAUGAAGGUGAGACCUGCACAUGAUGUGUCCGCUCCCAUUUCUUCUUGGUACCUGCUUUGCUGUGUCAUUGACUGAUAUAGCCGUUUUUGUGUUCAUUGUUCAAUUUCUGUUCAAUUUGGAAUUUCAUUGUUGUUCAACUUGGAAUUUCAGAUGUGGUGAUCAUUGAGGAUGAGAUACUGAUGGAAGAGAACCCGGCACAAGAGCUACUUGUGACCAAUCAGGAAUCCAUGGAUCAUUCAACACUGCAAGGACAACAAGUGGGUGUUGAGAACUGUCCUGCUCCUUCGGCCAGCCAGGAGGAUUCACCUAUCAUGGGUCUCGUUUCAAUGGCAACAGAACAGGCAGCUGAGAAGGACGAAUGUGCCAAUUUUCAGGAUGGUAAAGGAUCCUGCGGGUCAUUGGACAAGGGGGUGUCCGAUAAGAACCAUGAUGCCGGUGAAGAGAUAGAAAAGUUGUCCAUCAUCCAGGGGCUGCAGGCCUCACCGACAGAAGACCACAUUGAGGAAGUUGUCACUGAUGAUGCUAACCAUGAAAGUGAAAUGCGGAAUUUCAAUGAAGUACUGCAUGGCACAGAGGAAACCAGUGAGGCUAAUGCAGAAGAUGAUAUUGUCAGUCAGGACAAGGAAGAUAUCACUAUCGAUGAGUUGCAGGCUGACUUGGCAGAUGGGUCUGUUCUUGUUCAUUGCUCAGGGAAUAUCAAACUGUUUGUCGAAGAGGAGACCAAUGAGGUCAAUACUGAAGACGGUGUUUCUUUUCAGGAGAAGGGAGAUGUGGCUGUUGAUAUGGCACUGCCUGACACAGUGGCUGAGGCCAUUCCUUCUGGUUGCUCAAUUGAUAUCAGCUGUGUUGAAGUGGAGAAGGCAGGAUACAUCACUAGUGAGAUGUCUGAGAGCCCAGCUGCAUUGGAUGAGGAUGGUGAGGUAACAAACCUGUACGCUGAUAUCUGUCAUGCCGAUAAACCGAGUGAGGUGGUCAUUGGUGACAGUGUGUCCCAAGUCACAGUACCGGACAGCAAAGUUGUUCAGGAGGAAAAGGUGGUAGUGAUUACUGAUGAGAUGCCAUGGAGCACAGCUGCGAUGCAUGAGGACGUCGAGGAAGAUCAGUUUCAAACUAUUUUUAUUCAUGCUGCUGACAGUCUGCCGGAAGUUAAAAUGAUAGAUUAUGAAGUUGAGGAGAAGACAUCAAUGAUCAUUGAUGAGCAGCAGCAGAGCACGGUUACAAUCGAUGAAGAUGUUGUCGACAACCAUUUGGAAACUGAUGUUGUUCAUGCUGAUGAACAUAAGGAAGCGGUAACUAUUGAUGAAGUGCCAGAAUCCACAGGGACAGACGGUGAAGUUCUUGAGGAGGACAAGGCAGCUGUGAUCACUGAGGAGGUGCCACAGAGCACUGGUAAAAUGGAUGAGCAUGAAGAGGAAGAUCAGUUCCAAACUGCUUUUGUUCAUGAUGAUCAAGUAGUCACUGCUGACAGCGUGCCAGAUCUGAAAAUAACAGGUUGUGAACCAAUUGAGGACAAGACAACACUGAUAACUGAUGAGAAGCAACAGAGCACAGUCACAAUGGAUGAAGAUGUUGUCGAUGAUCAUUUCGAAACUGAUGCUGUCCAUGCCGAUGAUCACAAGAAAGUGGUAACUGCUGAUGAAGUGCCAGAACUCACAGGGACAGAUGAUGAAGUUGUUGGGGAGGAUAAGGCAGUUGUGACUGCUGAGGAGGUGCCACAGAGCACAGGUACCGAUGAGGAAGUCGAGGAAGAUCAGUUCCAAACUUUUUUUGUUCAUGCUGAACAAGUACUCACUUCUGACAGUGUGUCUGAUCUGAAAAUAACAGAUUGUGAAGAGAAAACGACACUGAUCAUUGAUGAGAAGCAACAGAGCACAGUUACAAUGGAUGAAGCUGAUGUUAGUGAUUAUUCCGAAACUGAUGAAUUGAAGGAAGUGGCAACUGAUGACAAAGUGCCACAACUCACAGGGACAGAGGGUGAAGUUGUUGAGGAGGAUAAGGCAGUUGUGAUCACAGAUGAGGAUGACUGGAAGGAGAGUGCAUUCACCAGUGAUCUUCCUCAAGAGCUCGAUGUUUCAGAAGAAUCCAAAGAUCGCAUAACUCCAGCACUGGUUGAUGAUGCCACUGAGUCCCUGUCCAAUAGCAUCCUCACUGUGGAGCCAGCUGCGUCCAUAGCUGCAGACGCAUCAGUGUGCAAGAACAGCAUCGAGAAGAACACUACUGAACUUGUGGCAAUGCAAGAUGAGAAGGUAGUAAAGGUGAACAAGAAAUCUGUGGAUUUGUACGCAUUUAGCCUACGGCAGCUCAAAACCAAGCUCAAGGAGGGGCUGAACGCCAAGAAGGUAAUGAACCAAUCAGCUCCACUCUGUUACUAUUCUGAUAUCUGAUUUGAAUACUGAACUGCCUCUAAUUUGCAGAACAAAGAAGCAAAGAGGGUGGCCCUUGCUAGAGUGGACGAGAAUGUGUGUCGAUCCCACACAAAGGGCCAGCAGCAGAACCUGAAUCUGCAACAGCAUUAACCCGGAGAAGAAGCCGCGGCUCUGAACUCUGACCAUAUCAUAUUUGCGUGCCAGAUGGUAUCAGGUUGUUCUGAAACCAUGGUUUCUCCGACCUUGGCAUCUAACCUAUAUUUGUGCUUGUUCUUUCGUGUGUUUGCGUGUUUGCUUGGAGAGGCAUGAGGCGAUUCGGCUGUAUUUUGUCAAGUCUAAUCGUAGGCUAGUACCCAGCUUUGAACUGUGAGUGGUUUGCUGGUGUUGGUUGCCUGUCUUAUUUUGAACUCCCAUUACUCGUUGGGAAAACCUGCUUAUAUAUAUUUAUGUAUCGUGCAAUAACAAGGUAGCAUCAGACUGUUUGGAAAUGAGUCAUGAAGCAUCGUUUGCUCGAUGUGGUAUCUUCCCUUUGGAUGCAGUAAAGUUAACUGUACACUUUUUCUGCCCCCAACAAUCCCUUCCACGGGCCUCAGCAGAACGUGUGAUUUCAGGCCUUCAGAAUUCAAAUCGGCAAAAUUCGAGAGUACAGGUACAGCUAUCUGCGUUUGGAGUUUGGACGAAUCUGAAUUUCGGAAAAUAAUCUGAACAUGAAGUGGAAUGCUCUAAACUUGUCUGCCACAGUAACAAUCCACAUGAAUACAUAUGGUCCUUGUUCCUCGGCCACCAUUCUUAAAUCCUGCACGCAUCUUCAUUCAGAUUCAGAUCGAAAUGCUACCAUCAGAUGGAGCUCGUCCACAGCCAGGUUAUCCGAGGCACGGAAACAAAUUUGACCCUGCCACGAGGUUGUGUGGCUCGUCCACAGCCAAAUUGGGAGUGCUCCAGUUGGCCACAGCGUCGCUGCCACAAUAUAUUAUUGGAUCCACUAUACCACUAUAUUGGAGCUACAUGAUGCCCAAACGCGGAACACGUCGAUCAAACAGUAACCAUUGUCACGAGUCACACACAAGUCACAACCACUCAAUCGCUGAUUCAGCCAUGUGGUUUUUUCUCACACGUCGUCCUCAACCAUGAAUGCCAAUGACAGCGAUUUCAAACCAAAAACAGAAAAGAAGCCGUACACGCACGUAUCUGGAAAUCUUUAUACUAGCUGUUAUCGAAUACUUGCACUACUAGCACUGAUUGGGACACUAGUGUAUCACAUCCACAGGCAACACCAACCCACAUUUGCGCGCUCCGUUCCAGGCAGCACCAACACGCCGUCGAAUGAAACCAUCUGUGUUCGUGGUUGAGUUUGGUGGAACAAACCUACCAAACGUGCAGAUUAACAAAAGCAGAUCCUUGCUCCGAAAAAAAAGGGCAGAUCAGAAAAAGAAUUCAUGUCAUAGAUUAGCAAGAUCAUAACAUACUUACAAACCUAAUGUCAGAUUCGAAAAGCUUUGAAGAAAUGUCAAUAUAGCAUGCUCAAUUGACCAAAAACCUCACUGCCACGAAAAUAUUCAAUCCCGAAGAGGCAGGGCAGGCGACGAACUCAUCGUAACGUUAAACACGUCGAUACAGCACCAGCCACUCGCCCACUCCAAUUCAGCCGUAAUCACGUGACAAGCGUGGUUACCGAUUGCUAAACAAUCACCGAUUGGAUUCAUGUCGCCCUCUACUCUGAAUUCCUGAUGCGGACUGAUUUGAUUUCAAACCAAAACGAAACCAACCAUAAUUGAAGGGCAUCAAGGACAUGAAACAUGCGCAAACCAGUGACCCGAACACUUAUAUAACACGGAUAAAGGACGCAGGUACAUCACACCCACAAGCAGGACAUGCGCGCAUCUCCUGCUUGCUCUUAUUACAGGCACGGGCACGAGCAUCACGUUGCUACUACAGCUACUACCAGUCCUGAUGCACGCCAUGCCUGAUACUACUACCAUAAACCCAGUAUUAGCACAGCCACACUACUACUUCCAAGCAGUAUUAUAUCGGUCGAUAAGCAAGGGAGCCCAGCGGAGCAGAGUGAUAGGAGUAUCAGUGCCGGGCUCUCACAAACUUAUCGGCAGUGGGCUGACGGCCGGCCUCAGGCGGCGGGGGGCGGCUUCUCGACGUCCUCAAGGGGGCGGAACCACACCUUCUGGUCCAGCACCGAGCCCGCACCAUUCGCGGCGGCGUCCGGCGCGCCGGCGGCCUUGUUGGCGUCCACCGCCGCGGGGCCGAACACGCCGGUCUUGGGGUGGGGGCCCCAGUACUUGUCGGGGUUGGCGGCGCCGCCGAUCACAUCGUCCGGCACGAACGCCGGGCGCACCUGGUCCUCCAGGUUCUUGUCGUACGCCGAGGCGUGCACGGCCCUCCUGCACAAGGUCGCAUCCAGUCAGAACUCAGAAUGGUGGACGAGCAAACGAGUGUCUGACGAUCCUUGUGACAAACAUGGUUUUAACAAGAGUGCUUAAGAUCCGAUGAAUGAAUAAUCGUUCUGCAAGCAACGAUGAUACCACAAUCCCAGGACAUGUCACGACAAAACAACGACAGAAACCAGGACAACCCCGGGAUCCCGAUACCAAGGCAGACUGAUCUCGUUCGCUGCAUUGUGCGCACCGUGCGACAGGUUCAAGUUCUCCUGAAUCAAGGUUACUGCUAGCACUUGUUUCAUGUUCGCAAGAAAUUUUGAAGACGCACGAGGCGUUGCAUGCCAAAACCUUAGCAAACUCUUUUAAAAAAACCCUUAGCAAACACGAAGCGGCACACCAGCCCAUGGCGAUGGCGCACGUGCCCCCGCCUCCGCCUCCACCUCCACCGCUCCACGCACGGGCGCGCGCGCGCGUGCACAUGGGCGGGCCGUGAAGAGGAUACGCGAGCGAGCGAGAGAAGGCGAGGGCACGACACGACGGCCGAAGCAGCUCGCUGUUCGGUGGGUGCGGAUAAGAGCGAGGCGGGACCGGAUCGAGUCCCAUCCGUACCGCACCACGCCCCGGUCACCCUGCACCGUCCGAUGGGCUUGUCACCUAGCAGAAGGCCCCGGCAACGGACGGCCCCGAUCCGGUCGUCGGCCCUGUGCAGAACAGCCCACAGCAAAUCCAGCGAUGAUGGGAUCGAAAGGGAAUCGUACGGGCCGGACGCGAAAGGAUGGGCCCGCCGGACGUCCGGGCUUCUGGUUCUCGGGCCCCACCGCCAGACGGAGACCCACUUCUGCCUCAGACCUCAAGAGAAAGAAACCUUUGAGUGGAAACCAAGAGAAAGAAACCUUCGGGUGGAAACCUGAGCGACGGAUGGCGGGUGGAGCGACAACCGACAACUACCGCGCACCAGACUCAUCUAUCCAUCUCUAUCUCCAAUUCGCCACCGAGAACUUUUCCGAAAGUGAAGCGUUGGGCGCGGCUUGGUGUACACAUCCUGUGUGCGUGGCUGUGUCGCCACUGCUGCUUCUCAUCUUCUUUGUGUGGGUGCGCCUGGAGCUGGAGUGGAGUGUGGUCAGUGUGGGGCCUUGCCUUUUCCUCCCUAGCAGAGGCAAGAGUUUUUUUGCGGAUUUUGAUGGACUGAACUGGGCAGUAAAAAUAUCUCCGUGGAUCUCACUUGAUCGAUCGGGAGUCUGCUAGUUCGAGCGUGCAAGAUGAUUAGGUGAAGUGCCAGCCUUCCAGUUUCCAGGUGCUCUUGCCUAUUGUGUUCUCACACGGUCAGAUGAUCACUAAACAGCUGGGCGAUGUUCCCAACGCAGAGGAUUGCCGUAUCUAGAUCAUGUAAGAAGACGAUCCUUCAAGUUUAGCAGUAACGUCUAGACAUGUAAUCGCAUAAUAAAUCGACAGAAUACAAGAUUAUCUGCUGAAUCAGUGGUUAACCACAAAAGCUAAACAUUCGUACUACCAUGUCGGAAGAAAAGCUGCAGGGAACGCUAUGCAAAGCACCGAAAGCCCGAAAGCAAAUCUAAAGGAUGGCCUAAAAAGCACAUCUCUCUGCUACAACAAGAUCAUGGACGAACUUAACAAGAACACUCGCCUACAGAAAUACUCCUACUCCCUUGUCGGAGGAAAAGCUGCAAGCAACACUAAGCAAAGCUAGGAGGCCUAAAAACAAAUCUCUCUGCAACAACAAGAUCUUGGGCGAGCUUAGCAAGAACAAUCGCCUACAAGAACUAGGCGAAAAUAAAUCACACGACAAUAACCGCAAGCGGGCAUGCCAGGUGGCCGUCGUUCGUCAUGUACCUCGGGGAGGCGGCG
RNAcentral lists this long non-coding RNA (9696 nucleotides) under Setaria viridis. Its description in RNAcentral is "long non-coding RNA (SVIR_LNC008447)". Lineage: Eukaryota; Viridiplantae; Streptophyta; Magnoliopsida; Poales; Poaceae. The record is from RNAcentral.